CUGAUACACGUUUGUCGACCCCAUUCUUGCAGUCAGAGUGGUUGUGUGAUCCAGGGGGCAAGCACCAGCCCCUCCAGUGACCAGACACUUUGCCAAACGGUGCACGUCCCUGCAGAGCUGGUGUCCUAGAGGUAUCUGUCCACUGUAUGGGCCACGGUGAAGGCGUCUGAAUCCCAGGAUGCUCUGGGAGUACCAGUCUCGUGCAUCAGUUGGCCACGGUGAAGGCAUCUGAAUCCCAGGAUGCUCUGGGAGUACCAGUCUCGUGCAUCAAAGGAAAGCUGUCCACUUCGGGACCAUUUACAGGCCAUCCAGCAUGUCCACUGCUCAGGGCCAGGGCUGCAGGUUGAGCUCUACACAGGUAACACCAGAGAAACCUGCAAAAUACAAGCUCCAGAUUUUGUGUAGUUCCUAUGGUGACCAUUUGGAUAUUUUUAUUGUGGAUUAAAGACUAUAUUCACUUUCCCAUUAUUAGUAUUUCUGUGUACUCUUAUGUCAUCUCUG
This 501-nucleotide long non-coding RNA is filed under the name Ficedula albicollis (Collared flycatcher). Its description in RNAcentral is "lncRNA (ENSFALG00000028296.1)". The record is from RNAcentral. Lineage: Eukaryota; Metazoa; Chordata; Aves; Passeriformes; Muscicapidae.